UACGUAGGUGGCAAGCGUUGUCCGGAUUUAUUGGGUUUAAAGGGUGCGUAGGCGGUUCUAUAAGUCAGUGGUGAAAUACGGCAGCUCAACUGUCGAGGUGCCAUUGAUACUGAAGAACUUGAGUACAGACGAGGUAGGCGGAAUUGACGGUGUAGCGGUGAAAUGCUUAGAUAUCGGGAGGAACACCGGUGGCGAAGGCGGCCCCCUGGUUGGAUACUGACGCUGAGACGCGAAAGCGUGGGGAGCAAACAGG
RNAcentral lists this ribosomal RNA (253 nucleotides) under uncultured bacterium. RNAcentral's name for it is "partial 16S ribosomal RNA". It matches the Rfam family "Bacterial small subunit ribosomal RNA", at positions 524 to 776 of the family's 1533-position model. The record is from RNAcentral.